ACGAACGCUGGCGGCGUGCCUAAUUCAUGCAAGUCGAGCGGACUUAAAAAGCUUGCUUUUUAAGUUAGCGGCGGACGGGUGAGUAACACGUGGGCAACCUGCCUGUUAGACUGGGAUAACUUCGGGAAACCGGAGCUAAUACCGGAUAAUCCUUUUCUACUCAUGUAGAAAAGCUGAAAGACGGUUUACGCUGUCACUUACAGAUGGGCCCGCGGCGCAUUAGCUAGUUGGUGAGGUAACGGCUCACCAAGGCGACGAUGCGUAGCCGACCUGAGAGGGUGAUCGGCCACACUGGGACUGAGACACGGCCCAGACUCCUACGGGAGGCAGCAGUAGGGAAUCUUCCGCAAUGGACGAAAGUCUGACGGAGCAACGCCGCGUGAGUGAUGAAGGUUUUCGGAUCGUAAAACUCUGUUGUUAGGGAAGAACAAGUACGAGAGUAACUGCUCGUACCUUGACGGUACCUAACCAGAAAGCCACGGCUAACUACGUG
This 493-nucleotide ribosomal RNA is filed under the name uncultured bacterium. RNAcentral's name for it is "partial 16S ribosomal RNA". It matches the Rfam family "Bacterial small subunit ribosomal RNA", at positions 29 to 507 of the family's 1533-position model. The record is from RNAcentral.